Molecule: small RNA, 366 nt
Filed under: Drosophila virilis
Lineage: Eukaryota; Metazoa; Arthropoda; Insecta; Diptera; Drosophilidae
Description: GJ27104
Source: RNAcentral
CACUAACCUAAUUGUGAUUCGGGGUGACCCUUAAAGAAAAGUUUCCGUGCCUGCUCAGUUGACUAGAUUUAGACGUACUAGUCGGCACUACCAGAGGGGGAGAUCGGACCAGACAAGGGCAACACCAAGAGCACGUGUCGCACUUAGCAACCCAGCAGAACCAAUUUUGUUGCUAUUUUACUUAUCAGCCGCUGUCUUGCGAAGAACAACAUCUGGCAUAGCCUCGGAAAACGGCGUCAAGCGGGUGAAACGCUUACUAUUUAUGCAGCACCAUCGGGACCGCAUGCACUAAGCAUAUAGUGUAACCUGCAGAGAGUAACAAAGGAGCCGACAACAGCGAUCAUAAUCGUCGUAUACAUUGGGCCC